CCUACGGGAGGCAGCAGUGGGGAAUAUUGGACAAUGGGGGCAACCCUGAUCCAGCCAUGCCGCGUGUGUGAAGAAGGCCCUCGGGUUGUAAAGCACUUUCAGUGAGGAAGAACGCCUGGUGGUUAAUACCCAUCAGGAAAGACAUCACUCACAGAAGAAGCACCGGCUAACUCCGUGCCAGCAGCCGCGGUAAUACGGAGGGUGCGAGCGUUAAUCGGAAUUACUGGGCGUAAAGCGCGCGUAGGUGGCUUGAUAAGCCGGUUGUGAAAGCCCCGGGCUCAACCUGGGAACGGCAUCCGGAACUGUCAAGCUAGAGUGCAGGAGAGGAAGGUAGAAUUCCCGGUGUAGCGGUGAAAUGCGUAGAGAUCGGGAGGAAUACCAGUGGCGAAGGCGGCCUUCUGGACUGACACUGACGCUGAGGCGCGAAAGCGUGGUUAGCAAACAGGAUUAGAUACCCCAGUAGUC
This 465-nucleotide ribosomal RNA is filed under the name Vreelandella stevensii. RNAcentral describes it as "partial 16S ribosomal RNA". It matches the Rfam family "Bacterial small subunit ribosomal RNA", at positions 338 to 795 of the family's 1533-position model. Lineage: Bacteria; Pseudomonadati; Pseudomonadota; Gammaproteobacteria; Oceanospirillales; Halomonadaceae. The record is from RNAcentral.